Molecule: transfer RNA, 69 nt
Filed under: Scoparipes salvazai
Lineage: Eukaryota; Metazoa; Arthropoda; Insecta; Hemiptera; Cydnidae
Description: tRNA-Ser
Rfam family: tRNA
About the family: Transfer RNA (tRNA) molecules are approximately 80 nucleotides in length. Their secondary structure includes four short double-helical elements and three loops (D, anti-codon, and T loops).
Source: RNAcentral
AGUCAAUAAGUUUUAGAGAAACUUGUACCUUGAAAGUACAGAACGGGGGUUAAACUCUCCCAUUGACUU